GCCCGGGUGGCUCAGUAGGUUAAGCGUCUGACUUCAGCUCAGGUCAUGAUCUCACAGUCCGUGAGUUCGAGCCCCACGUCGGGCU
RNAcentral lists this transfer RNA (85 nucleotides) under Felis catus (domestic cat). It matches the Rfam family "tRNA". Rfam says of the family: Transfer RNA (tRNA) molecules are approximately 80 nucleotides in length. Their secondary structure includes four short double-helical elements and three loops (D, anti-codon, and T loops). Further hydrogen bonds mediate the characteristic L-shaped molecular structure. tRNAs have two regions of fundamental functional importance: the anti-codon, which is responsible for specific mRNA codon recognition, and the 3' end, to which the tRNAs corresponding amino acid is attached (by aminoacyl-tRNA synthetases). tRNAs cope with the degeneracy of the genetic code in two manners: having more than one tRNA (with a specific anti-codon) for a particular amino acid; and 'wobble' base-pairing, i.e. permitting non-standard base-pairing at the 3rd anti-codon position. Lineage: Eukaryota; Metazoa; Chordata; Mammalia; Carnivora; Felidae. The record is from Rfam by way of RNAcentral. RNAcentral also lists the same sequence under 2 other names.